AUAGCGUAUAUUAAAGUUGUUGCAGUUAAAAAGCUCGUAGUUGAAUUUCGGGGUCAGUAGGUCGGUCGUGCCACUGGUAUGAACUGGUUUUACUGAUUCCUCCCUCUUGAAGAACUGUAAUGCCAUUAAUUUGGUGUUGCAGGGAAUCAGGACUGUUACUUUGAAAAAAUUAGAGUGUUUAAAGCAGGCUUUAGCUUGAAUACAUUAGCAUGGAAUAAUGAAAUAGGACGUUUGAUCCUAUUUUGUUGGUUUCUAGGAUUGACGUAAUGAUUAAUAGGGAUAGUUGGGGGCAUUAGUAUUCAAUUGUCAGAGGUGAAAUUCUUGGAUUUAUUGAAGACUAACUACUG
This 347-nucleotide ribosomal RNA is filed under the name uncultured eukaryote. RNAcentral describes it as "SSU rRNA". It matches the Rfam family "Eukaryotic small subunit ribosomal RNA", at positions 594 to 945 of the family's 1831-position model. The record is from RNAcentral.